GCGGCGUGCUUAAUACAUGCAAGUUGUGCGAGAAAGUUUCCUUCGGAGAAGUGAGUACAGCGGCGAACGGGUGAGUAACACGUAAGCAAUCUGCCUCAUAGAUCGGGACAAGCCUGCUAACGCGGGGCUAAUACCGGAUGGUAAACACUGUUCGCAUGGAUAGUGUUUUAAAUGGGGUAAUCCGCUAUGAGAUGAGCUUGCGGACCAUUAGUUUGUUGGCAGGGUAACGGCCUACCAAGCCUACGAUCAGUAGCUGGUUUGAGAGGAUGAUCAGCCACACUGGGACUGAGACACGGCCCAGACUCCUACGGGAGGCAGCAGUGGGGAAUCUUAGACAAUGGGGGCAACCCUGAUCUAGCCAUGCCGCGUGAGUGACGAAGGCCCUAGGGUCGUAAAGCUCUUUCACCAGGGAAGAUAAUGACGGUACCUGGAGAAGAAACCCCGGCUAACUCCGUGCCAGCAGCCGCGGUAAUACGGAGGGGGUUAGCGUUGUUCGGAAUUACUGGGCGUAAAGCGCGCGUAGGCGGACUGUUAAGUCAGGGGUGAAAUCCCGGGGCUCAACCCCGGAACUGCCCUUGAUACUGGCAGUCUCGAGUUCGAGAGAGGUGAGUGGAACUCCGAGUGUAGAGGUGAAAUUCGUAGAUAUUCGGAAGAACACCAGUGGCGAAGGCGGCUCACUGGCUCGAUACUGACGCUGAGGUGCGAAAGUGUGGGGAGCAAACAGGAUUAGAUA
RNAcentral lists this ribosomal RNA (733 nucleotides) under uncultured organism. RNAcentral describes it as "bacterial SSU rRNA". It matches the Rfam family "Bacterial small subunit ribosomal RNA", at positions 39 to 784 of the family's 1533-position model. The record is from RNAcentral.